Molecule: ribosomal RNA, 745 nt
Filed under: uncultured bacterium
Lineage: Bacteria
Description: bacterial SSU rRNA
Rfam family: Bacterial small subunit ribosomal RNA
Source: RNAcentral
AGAGUUUGAUCAUGGCUCAGGAUGAACGCUAGCGGUAUGCUUAACACAUGCAAGUCGUACGGGAGUUUUUAACUCAAGUGGCGGACGGGUGAGUAACACGUGAGAAUUUACCUUUAGGAGGGGGAUAACAAUUGGAAACGAUUGCUAAUACCCCAUAUGCUUUUUUAAGUGAAACGAAUUCUUUCGCCUAAAGAAAAGCUCGCGGCUGAUUAGCUAGUUGGUAAGGUAAUGGCUUACCAAGGCGACGAUCAGUAUCUGGUUUGAGAGGACGAUCAGACACACUGGAACUGAGACACGGUCCAGACUCCUACGGGAGGCAGCAGUGGGGAAUUUUCCGCAAUGGGCGAAAGCCUGACGGAGCAAUACCGCGUGAGGGAAGAAAGCCUACUGGGUUGUAAACCUCUUUUUUCAGGGAGGAAAAAAAUGACGUGUACCUGAAGAAUAAGCAUCGGCUAACUCCGUGCCAGCAGCCGCGGUAAGACGGAGGAUGCAAGUGUUAUCCGGAAUUACUGGGCGUAAAGCGUCUGUAGGUGGUUUAAUAAGUCAACUGUUAAAUCUUGAGGCUUAACUUCAAAACAGCAGUCGAAACUAUUAGACUAGAGUAUAGUAGGGGUAAAGGGAAUUUCCAGUGGAGCGGUGAAAUGCGUAGAUAUUGGAAAGAACACCGAUGGCGAAAGCACUUUACUGGGCUAUUACUAACACUCAGAGACGAAAGCUAGGGUAGCAAAUGGGAUUAGAUACCCCA